GAUGAAGAACGCAGCGAAAUGCGAUAAGUAGUGUGAAUUGCAGAAUUCAGUGAAUCAUCGAAUCUUUGAACGCACAUUGCGCCCUUUGGUAUUCCUUAGGGCAUGCCUGUUCGAGCGUCAUUACAACCCUCAAGCUCUGCUUGGUGUUGGGCCCCGCCGCCCCGGCGGGCCCUAAAGUCAGUGGCGGUGCCGUCCGGCUCCGAGCGUAGUAAUUUUUCUCGCUUUGGAGGCCCGGGCGCGUGCUUGCCAUCAACCCCCAAUUUUUUUCAGGUUGACCUCGGAUCAGGUAGGGAUACCCGCUGAACUUAAGCAUAUCAAUAAGCGGAGGA
RNAcentral lists this unclassified non-coding RNA (329 nucleotides) under soil metagenome. Its description in RNAcentral is "partial contains 5.8S ribosomal RNA, internal transcribed spacer 2, and large subunit ribosomal RNA". The stretch from base 1 to 120 matches the Rfam family "5.8S ribosomal RNA", at positions 35 to 154 of the family's 154-position model. The record is from RNAcentral.